GGGCAAAACUCCAACCUUCCAUUAAGAAACGGAAUCUGGGAAACAUGUUUGGCUCUAAAAUUGAGCUUAAACAGGCUGCUUGAACCUCUUGACCUUGACCACAAAGAUUGAACUAGGAGGUUUAAAACACCAGAGACAGAAUUUAAAAUUUACUACUCCUACUACUGCCACCGUUAAUAACAAUAGUAAACAAUGUACUGCGUGCACGCAGCAUAUCCAGUUCUAAGAAGGAGUUUAUGAUCUCAUUGGAGAGAUAAGAUCUGCACAGUCCCUGGAGAACAUCAGGAUUGGAUACAGAAUGAAGAGCAGAAAUGGGCCAGAGGAGACACGGAAGUCCUGUGGAAAAUAACAAAAUGUUGCUUAACAUCUCAACACUCAAGAAAAAUGUGAAGCUGGGAAAGUAGACUUGGUGGUCUUCAGAACCUGCUGGUGCUAUGCUUGGUCUUCCACCACCACAGGGAAAACAGCCCCCCUCCAGCUUGCAAGGUUGCUUUUCAAGAGGCAGUCACCCCAGCAUCUCUCUACAUCAAAAUCUCUGCUAAAGCCAUGGCCCGGUGACCUUUCCCAAGCAGGUCAGCGAAGACUCUCAUAGCAUCACAGUUUGGGAGAAAAACACAGCCCAAGCCAGCACCCAAGUGCAAUGCUGGGUAAAUGCCUCUGGGAUUGGUCCAGGCCUGGUGCCAACUCCAUCAAGUUCUCACUUUAAUAAAAGCCUCUCAGUUACUCAAGCAAUAAAUAUUUCAUUUUUUUUUCCUGUGUCAACACUGCAUCAGGUACCAGCAGUGCAAGAAGAAAGGCGCAGCCCUGACUCGCUGCUGGGACUGGUGAGUGACCACCCAGAGCACUGCAUGCAUGUUGUUCUCGCUGCUCAUGCUGCUUUGUGCACUGUCUAUGGUCCUGUCUUAUUUACUGGGUAAGCUCCUGGAGAACCGAGAUCACAUCUCAUUUUUCUAUCACUUCAUCCCCAAACAUAAUGGAGUAGCUCAAGCACUUUGAGAGCAAGGCUGAUGUCUGCUAUUGCUUCUUCCCUGUCUCCCAUAUCAUCCAGGAAAGUUAUUUAUUUAUACGGAGUACUCCACAAAGCACCACACACAUCUACAUUUUUAAAAUAAAAAUAUCAGCACAUCUUGCCCACAUAUGGCUAUGUGUUCUUCUGAGGCAAAGCCAAUUAUGUUAAUGGCCUAUUAACAUUCUACUGGUAAAAGUGAAGAAAAACAAAGAAAGAGAUUAAAGAAGGCACUAAGUAAUUUCCUUCUUAGUAAGUACUACUUUGUGCCAGCCACUUUGUCAGGUUCUAAUCCAUUGAGUUUACUAUUGUCUGGAUUCCUCAGAAGGUUCCUGGAGGGCCACAUUGUGAUAGAGGUCUCAUAAUUCUACCUCUACUACUAGAACUAAGUUUUACAGAAGAGUGAAAUUCAGGAAAGCAUCUGCUUCCAAUGGGCUUUAGGUUGACCCUGCAGGUGAUCUUUCCCAAGGCCAGAAAGCUUAGUGACUAUUUCAUUGACCCGGAUCCAGUAUGCUAUGCCACCAUCUAAACCCAAGGCUUAGGUCUGCUGAGACAUAAGACAACUUACAAUUAUAGCUAAGCUGUAUUGAACACUUAUUAUUUUCUU
Molecule: long non-coding RNA, 1613 nt
Filed under: Homo sapiens (human)
Lineage: Eukaryota; Metazoa; Chordata; Mammalia; Primates; Hominidae
Description: HSALNT0365902
Source: RNAcentral